Bos taurus (domestic cattle) is the source of this 73-nucleotide non-coding RNA. Lineage: Eukaryota; Metazoa; Chordata; Mammalia; Artiodactyla; Bovidae. The record is from Rfam.
UCCCUGGCAGUCCAGUGGCUAAGACUCCAUGCUCCUAAUGCAGGAGACCCAGGUUCAAACCCUGGUCAGGGAA